Molecule: transfer RNA, 71 nt
Filed under: Actinomadura sp. KC06
Lineage: Bacteria; Bacillati; Actinomycetota; Actinomycetes; Streptosporangiales; Thermomonosporaceae
Also listed under: 1 other name
Description: tRNA-Gly
Rfam family: tRNA
About the family: Transfer RNA (tRNA) molecules are approximately 80 nucleotides in length. Their secondary structure includes four short double-helical elements and three loops (D, anti-codon, and T loops). Further hydrogen bonds mediate the characteristic L-shaped molecular structure. tRNAs have two regions of fundamental functional importance: the anti-codon, which is responsible for specific mRNA codon recognition, and the 3' end, to which the tRNAs corresponding amino acid is attached (by aminoacyl-tRNA synthetases). tRNAs cope with the degeneracy of the genetic code in two manners: having more than one tRNA (with a specific anti-codon) for a particular amino acid; and 'wobble' base-pairing, i.e. permitting non-standard base-pairing at the 3rd anti-codon position.
Source: RNAcentral
GCCGCACAGGUCGAAUGGUGAGACACCAGGCUUCCACCCUGGCGAACCGGGUUCAAUUCCCGGGUGCGGCU